Long non-coding RNA from Hipposideros armiger (great roundleaf bat), 2605 nucleotides. RefSeq lists it as uncharacterized. The record is from RefSeq and is a predicted model, not a curated record. The transcript has 3 exons. Lineage: Eukaryota; Metazoa; Chordata; Mammalia; Chiroptera; Hipposideridae.
CUCCGAGCUCAUCCCUGCUCGCCAGCUAUGAGCCUGGUGGAAGCACACUUUCAUCCUGAAUCCUUACCCUCCUCCCGUGGGGCAGCUGAUGCUCUUGCGACACAUCCUAAACUCAAGAACUGAGCAUCAGUGGAUCACGUUACAGGCAUCUGAGAAACACUAGGAUUACAGAAUUCUAAAACUGGAAGAGACUACAGAAAUCAUUACACAGUCACUUUCCAGACGAGGAAAUAAAGGCUAAAGGCUUAGCCAGGAUCCUGAAUUGUGGGAAGGCAAACCCUGCCAAAACUGAGGAACCCAAGCUGGAGGCAGCGAGGCUCCACCACUCAGACUACGGCGACGUGCCAAGACUGCAAGGCCAAAUCGGAAACAGCCACAUUGAGCUCAUUAAAACGACUGAAUGAUCAAAGGCGUGCAAGCCUUCACAAAGGCAAAAAUUAAUCUGUUUAAUACUUGGCUAAAUUCUCAACUGUUGAAGUAAAUUUGAAACGAAAUUCAUCAAACUCCCCCCUUUCCUGUGGAAAAAUCCUUUGAGUUCCUCAGAGUGUCCAGGAGGUGGCAGAAGCGUUCUUUGUUUUCAGCUUAGGGGACACAGCUACAGCUCCACCCCCAAAAUUAACGUAAGUAUAUGAGGUAGAAUUAUAUAUAUGAAUGUAAAUACACAUUUUCAGGAGAUCAACAAUUAUAUUCAAACGUGGAUAAGCCAAAGCUCACUUGGCAAUCACUUUUUGAGGGAAGAAAUGAUAAGAAUUCAAAAAUGAAUCUUGGCUGUCGAUGAAAAAGGCUGAUGGAAGAAAGAACUACAGCUCAAGUUGUACCCUAUUCGUGGACUUCCCAGGGCUUCCAUGACCCUCCAUUCUUGCAGCACACCUAUGCUUCUUUUUCCUUCCCUUCAUUACUCCUGAAAGAUUUCACACUCAUUCCUGAGUCGUCAGUGACCGGUGGCCUCCCUACAAAGCUGAAGGAGCUAGAAAACAUUCAGGAACAUUCUCUGCUGCAAGGACUCCUAACCUCCCCUCAGCCUGCCUCCUCUGCCAGGUCAACCUCCAUAACCUGAGGUGUAUCCACCACCCUAAACAUUAUGAAUAUUGAUUCCUGAUGGACAAACGGAAGCUGGUGUAGGAUCUCAAAUUCCUAAAUUUCCUGGGAGGACAACAUGUGAAAUAUUAAUACAGUCUAUCGUGGGAAACAAAACUCAUUAAAAUACAUAGACAUUCACAAAAAGUCACUGUUUAUUUCAUGAAGCAAAAACAUUUAUUCCAACCAGAUCAAGGGAAGAAAAAAAAUGUUUUCUAUAGCUCCAAUUUCACACACUCUAGUACGAAAUGAAUCAAUAGUAGCUAGGAGGAGCGAAAUCAAAGAUUUCCUUUUCAACAGUAAUAAAUCCAGUCAAACCCUAUUCGGUAUGGCACUUGACAUGGCUUGUAAAAUCUGAAGUUACUAAAUUAUGUAUUGCAAUAGUAAUCUGUUACACAAUUAAUAGGAAGUGCUAAAUUAGGACAAAUGGUUUCCAAUGGGAUCCAGAUGGUUAACCCUAGACUAGGUAGAAAGGGUGUAAAAUUAAGAACUGCACUGAUUUUUUUUCCUUGAGUUUCUUGAAGGAACCAGAGUUCUUCAAACAUGGAAUGUAAACACUUGGGAAGGUAGCCUAAGAGAAGCAUGUGUUAUGUAGCAGCCUGAGUCCCAGCUGUGUUUAUACUAGGAUUCCAAAAUAUCUGGGCCUGGAAGGAGAACUGGCAGGAGGGACAGAGAGGCGUGCUGGGACAGACUGACCCCAAGGGGAAAGAAAGAAGCUGGUUCAAGACAAAUGGGGGUGUUGUGAUUGUUGACAGAGCACAGUGCCUGUCACUCAGCUUACCUUACAGCCCCCCUCCCAAGACUCACAUCUGAUUCCCCAGAGGAUGGAGAAGACCCUGAAACAUGUUGACAUUAUUGACCCCCUUCGCAGUAGGGCUGCGUUGAUGGUGGUGGCAACAAUAAGGGCAGCAAUGGCCUUGGGCAGUGUCAGGGCUGACACCACCACCCUUAGCCUUGAGGAUUGGCAGUACCCACAGAGAACACAGUGCUUUAGCAGGUGGGAAGAUAUCUGUGGUACCACAGCUGCUUUUGUCAUUGGUGGGAAAGAGGAAACAGCAGCAAGUGAAGCCACAUUCCAGUGACCCAGUGUAGGAAGGAAAAAAACAACAAACCUCAUGUUGUAACCAAGAGACUAGUUCUCAGAGAACUGGUUGUGGUAGGCUGAAGAGUGACCCACUAAAGAUGUCCGUGACCUCAUCCCCAGAACCUGUGAAUACAUUACCUUACAUGGCAGAAGGGACCCAGCAGAUGGGAUUUUAAGUAAAAGAUCUUGAGAUGGGAAGAUUAUUCUGGAUUGUUUGGGUGGGUCAAUGUAACCACAAGGGUACUUACAAGGGGAAGGCAUGAGAGCUGUAAUCAAAAAAGGAGAUGUGACAACAGAAACAGAGAUCACACAGAGAGACCUGAGGGUGCUUCACUUCUGGCUUUGAAGAUAGAGAAUAGGGUCCCCAAGCCAAGGAAUGCAGGUGGCCUUUACAAAGUAGGGAAAGGCAAGGAAAUGGGUUCUCCCCUAGAGCUCUGCCAACUU